This 161-nucleotide ribosomal RNA is filed under the name Archaeoglobi archaeon. Its description in RNAcentral is "partial 16S ribosomal RNA". It matches the Rfam family "Archaeal small subunit ribosomal RNA", at positions 1 to 153 of the family's 1478-position model. Lineage: Archaea; Methanobacteriati; Methanobacteriota; Archaeoglobi. The record is from RNAcentral.
CAAUUCUGGUUGAUCCUGCCAGAGGCCACUGCUAUCCGGCUGGGACUAAGCCAUGCGAGUCCAGGGGCUUGCCGCAAGGCAAGCACCGGCGGACGGCUCAGUAACACGUGGACAACCUGCCCUCGGGAGGGGGAUAACCCCGGGAAACUGGGGCUAAACCC